This 253-nucleotide ribosomal RNA is filed under the name uncultured bacterium. RNAcentral's name for it is "partial 16S ribosomal RNA". It matches the Rfam family "Bacterial small subunit ribosomal RNA", at positions 524 to 776 of the family's 1533-position model. The record is from RNAcentral.
UACGUGAGGGGCGAACGUUGUUCGGUGUCACUGGGCUUAAAGGGCGCGUAGGUGGCUGUGCAAGUAAGGUGUGAAAGCCCUCGGCUUACCCGGGGAAUUGCGCCUUAAACUGCAUGGCUUGAGGGAUUCAGGGGAAUGGGGAAUUCCUGGUGUAGCGGUGAAAUGCGCAGAUAUCAGAAGGAACACCGGUGGCGAAGGCGGGUCUCUGGGCCGAUACUGACGCUGAGGAGCGAAAGCGUGGGGAGCGAACAGG